This 310-nucleotide small nuclear RNA is filed under the name Neotoma lepida (desert woodrat). Its description in RNAcentral is "7SK RNA". It matches the Rfam family "7SK RNA". From Rfam's summary of the family: 7SK was discovered as an abundant small nuclear RNA in the mid-70s but a possible function has only recently been suggested. Two independent studies have found that 7SK RNA binds the CDK9/cyclin T complex (known as elongation factor P-TEFb). Lineage: Eukaryota; Metazoa; Chordata; Mammalia; Rodentia; Cricetidae. The record is from Rfam by way of RNAcentral.
GGACAGUGGCCUUUGACAUUUGUCACCCCAAUGAUCGUCAGGUUGAUUUGGCUGAUCAGGCUGGCCAGGCAGGUGUCGCCUUCCUCCCUCAACACUCCAUGUGCGUCCCUCCCGAAGCUGCGCGCUCGGUUGAAGAGGACGACCUUCCCCGAAUAGAGGAGGACCGGUCUUCGGUCAAGGGUAUACGAGUAGCUGCGCUCCCCUGCUAGAACUUCCAAACAAGCUCCCAGAGAAGCUUCUUUCAGCAGUGUCAGUGAUAACUGCAGAGAAUCUAAGUGAUCAAAGUGACAAUAAGUGACUGUUAAAGGCU